Molecule: ribosomal RNA, 377 nt
Filed under: uncultured Chloroflexota bacterium
Lineage: Bacteria; Bacillati; Chloroflexota
Description: bacterial SSU rRNA
Rfam family: Bacterial small subunit ribosomal RNA
Source: RNAcentral
UAAUACGUAGAAGGCGAGCGUUAUUCGGAUUUAUUGGGCGUAAAGAGGGCGUAGGCGGCUUUUCAAGUCGGAUGUAAAAUCUCCCGGCUCAACUGGGAGGGACCAUCCGAUACUGUUAGGCUAGAGGGCAGCAGAGGGAGGUGGAAUUCCCGGUGUAGUGGUGAAAUGCGUAGAUAUCGGGAGGAACACCAGUGGCGAAGGCGGCCUCCUGGGCUGUUUCUGACGCUGAGGCCCGUAAGCGUGGGGAGCAAACAGGAUUAGAUACCCUGGUAGUCCACGCCGUAAACGAUGGACACUAGGUAUGGGGAGUAUCGACCCUCUCUGUGCCGAAGUUAACGCGUUAAGUGUCCCGCCUGGGGAGUACGGCCGCAAGGCUA